This is a long non-coding RNA of Zingiber officinale, 2731 nucleotides long. RefSeq lists it as uncharacterized. The transcript is spliced from 4 exons. The record is from RefSeq and is a predicted model, not a curated record. NCBI's taxonomy places the organism in Eukaryota, Viridiplantae, Streptophyta, Magnoliopsida, Zingiberales, Zingiberaceae.
UCAUUUCCUUCCCUCUCCCAUUUCUUCUUCGUUACUUUUCUUUAUCGCUGCUAGGUUUCUUCCAUCUCCCACCCCUUCUUUUCUUCCCUCUCCACAACGCAGCUAGGUUCUUCCCUUUCCGUAGCAAGCAAGGAGUGGCUCAAAGGUAACCCUAUUUCUCAUUUCUUCCCUUUCGGCAACAUCGUGCACAGCCUCGUCAGGCUACGAGCAGCCAUUUUACAAGUGACCGCACUCGAGGGGGUUGCAACCUCGCUAGGCCGUUGGUUCGCUAGCAGCAUAUUUGCGAACGGUUACAUGUGAAAGGGUUGAUGCCUCACCAGCUAGCCCGUUCACAAACAGGCACAUACGAGGGGGUCAAUACCGGGCAGUGACCUAUAGCGAGCACUGAGUCGAAGCGAUCGGUCUUUACUUUCUCGACAUUCAUCUUCUCUCAGGUUUGUGUCCUAAUCCUCGAUCGGCCCAUUCCUCCUUUUCAAUUCUUCCCCUCAUGGCACGGUCUCGCAGCGCUCUUGCUGGAGCACGUCCGAAGGAUCUGUUGCGAGCACUGCAUCCUUCUCAUUUUCUAACUAUUUUCCUUGUUUGUUGGUUGACACAUGUUCCCCUCCCCUUUUCAAUUUCUCCUCUCACGGCAAAGUUGUGAUGGUGGGUGUUGGUCUUGACGCUUGUUGUCAUGCGCUCAUGCUGGUGCACAUCUGAAGGAUCAAUUUUCUUCUUCGGGCGUGUUCUUCCAAGAUCUGAAAUUGUUGAAGAAGGUAUGAUGUUCAGUUUUGUUUUGUUUUGUUUAUCUCCUUGGCUUUGGAAAUGUUUGAGUAAUUAAAUUGUGCUAUAGAAGACAUGAAUGGAAGAAUGAGAAUGAAAUAAAUCAGUUUGCAUGCAAUGCCAGUAGAUUUACCACCAAUAAGCACAUCUCCCAUGUUAAACUGUCAAUUCAAUUUUAUAUAAAGGAGUGUGAAAAGGCAUUGGUUUUGGAUCCUGCUUUCAGGCGCGCACACCAGAGGUUGGCAUCGUUGCUUAUAAGGUUAUAUCACUUUAAAAAUGUUUCAUUCUUUCUAAUUCAAGUUUGCAAAUUGAUUGCUACUGGUCCUAGUGUUAUGCUGAGAUAUUGAUAUUGCUUAAUUGCAAAUGAUUCAUGUCCUUGGAGCCAGUCACCCAUUAUUGUUAUUAAUUAUAAUGUGUAAUUUGUUUAUGAAUGCUUCUAUUACAUAAUUAAUAGGUAUAAUCGAAGAACUAUCUCAAUUUUAUCAAACUCUAUUUUGAUUGAUGAGGUUGCAUUUUUUUUAUGGUAGAGUUGUCUUAUGAUUUUUGCGUUGUUUAUAUUAGUUAUUCAAAGUUGCAACAUCAAUCCUUGGUCCUUACUACAAUCAUUUUGCCUGAUCACAAUUCUGAAUUGUAAAAGAGAUCUUUUUGUAGAAUUGUCAAGCAUUAAGCAGCUUUAAACAAAUUAUUACACAUAUAUUUGUCUUACAUUCUUCUGUUUUAACUCACAAUAUUUGUAGAUAGCCUUGGAGUGUCAUUAAUUGUAGUAAUUAAAAUAUAUCCUUGUGUUGCUCAAUAAGAAAAGAAAAAAAUAACAUUGUUAUUGCCAUAUAUUAAUGUUGCUCCGUAUGUACUUAUGAUUAAUUGAAUUCCAGAGAUACAAUCAAGUGUCUGUUUUGUUUACUAUUAUUAGUAGACCACACUGCAACAAAUAUUGUGAUCAGAAAUAAAUAAUAACACAUGAAGUUCUUUAUCAUGUUAUAUGAACUCAAGAACUUGAGAAGAAAAAGAAAUUGUUGUUUUUUAUGCUUAGUUUGUUUUAGCUUUUAAAUUUCAUUAUUCUUUCUUUUGACUCCUUGUGAUAAAUGAUGUUGAUGAGUAAAUCUUAUACUGAAAUAUGCAUUCUUCUGAAUAAACUGUUUAUUUUGUUCGACAACUUAGGUUAAGUUGAGAAUGCUAGGAAACAUCUCUUGUUGGCUGGCCUACAGCCUGAUUCUAUUGAAUUUAGGGAGCUUCAAGCAGUGGAAAGACAUUUGGACAUGUGUGCAGAAGUCUGGAAGGUUGUAGAUUGGAAGAGUGCCCUUAAGGAGUGUGAUACUGCCUUCAUUGAAGGAGCAAAUGCUUCUUCGUUUGUAAAUUCAUACUAGCACUUAAUCUCAUUAGUUUGGAUGUCUUGUUAAUGUUAUUAUAAGAGAAUACAAUAAUGUAUUCUUAUAAUGCCCACAAUUGCAGGUAAUGGUUUCAAAAUCUGAAGCAUAACUUUGACUUCAUCAAUUUGAAGAGGCUGAUAUGGUCAUAUCCAAUGUAUUUAAACUUGAUAGUGUAAAUUCACCAUCCUAAAAUACUAAGUUUUUUGGUAUACUGGCAAAUUCAUACUUGUAUGCUGUCAGUGUCCAAGUGGACAUGGCUCGAGGAAGGUUUGAAAAUGUCUUCACAAAAAGCAAAGCAGAUUUAUCCUAGAAAUGUGGAGAUAUAUACAUUAAUGAACAACACGAGCUAUAUCUCGAGCACGAGCAUUAGAUAGUGCGAAAAGGCUGUUGAGGAUUGCAACAAAGCUCUUAGUAUUUGAGCCAACUACAUGAAAGCCCUUUUUAGUUGUGCUACCUUAUAUUCAAAGGUGAUAUGAUUUCCUUCUAAAAUUUAAUAUUUUGAGUAUAGUGUAUAACUAGUUUUGGAUGUAAAAGACUCGUCAUUAAUUUGCAUUUGUAACUUUGACCCAAAUAUUUAUUGGAUGAAUUUAGAUGAUCUACUUGCA